RNAcentral lists this unclassified non-coding RNA (245 nucleotides) under plant metagenome. RNAcentral describes it as "partial contains small subunit ribosomal RNA, internal transcribed spacer 1, and 5.8S ribosomal RNA". The stretch from base 1 to 55 matches the Rfam family "Eukaryotic small subunit ribosomal RNA", at positions 1778 to 1831 of the family's 1831-position model. The record is from RNAcentral.
GGAAGUAAAAGUCGGUAACAAGGUCUCCGUUGGUGAACCAGCGGAGGGAUCAUUACCGAGUUUACAACUCCCAAACCCUAUGUGAACCUUACCUUUUGUUGCUUCGGCGGGAUCGCCCUGGCGCUUCACGGCGCCGGAUCUCAGGCGCCCGCCGGAGGCCCAAAACUCUUGUUUAUUAAUGUUUCCUCUCCGAGUGGCACAAGCAAAAUAAAUCAAAACUUUCAACAACGGAUCUCUUGGUUCUG